RNAcentral lists this transfer RNA (73 nucleotides) under Bos taurus (domestic cattle). It matches the Rfam family "tRNA". Rfam says of the family: Transfer RNA (tRNA) molecules are approximately 80 nucleotides in length. The record is from Rfam by way of RNAcentral. RNAcentral also lists the same sequence under 1 other name. Lineage: Eukaryota; Metazoa; Chordata; Mammalia; Artiodactyla; Bovidae.
UCCCUGGUGGUUCAGUGGCUAGGACUCUGCCAUUCCAAAGCAGGAGGCCUGGGUUCAAUCCCUGGUCAGGGAA